Long non-coding RNA from Gavialis gangeticus (Gharial), 85 nucleotides. RefSeq lists it as uncharacterized. The record is from RefSeq and is a predicted model, not a curated record. The transcript is spliced from 3 exons. Lineage: Eukaryota; Metazoa; Chordata; Crocodylia; Gavialidae.
CAGAGCUUGGCACCUUCUGUCCUGCUCCUGGGCAGGAAUGGAGCUGAUGACCAGCAGGUAUAGUAUCAUUGCAAGGAAUCCAGAC